Molecule: ribosomal RNA, 104 nt
Filed under: uncultured bacterium
Lineage: Bacteria
Description: partial 16S ribosomal RNA
Rfam family: Bacterial small subunit ribosomal RNA
Source: RNAcentral
AUGUUACGGGAGGCAGCAGUGGGGGAUAUUGGACAAUGGGCGAAAGCCUGAUCCACCGACGCCGCGUGGAGGACGAAACCCUUCGGGGUGUAAACUCCUUUUGU